RNAcentral lists this ribosomal RNA (497 nucleotides) under uncultured bacterium. RNAcentral describes it as "partial 16S ribosomal RNA". It matches the Rfam family "Bacterial small subunit ribosomal RNA", at positions 28 to 507 of the family's 1533-position model. The record is from RNAcentral.
GAUGAACGCUGGCGGCGUGCCUAAUACAUGCAAGUUGAGCGAAGAAGAUAGGUGCUUGCUCCUAUUUGAAGAGCAGCGAACGGGUGAGUAACGCGUGGGUAAUCUGCCUUUGAGAGGGGGAUAACAUCUGGAAACGAAUGCUAAUACCGCAUAACAACUUUAAACACAAGUUUUAAGUUUGAAAGAUGCAUUUGCAUCACUCAAAGAUGAUCCCCCGUUGUAUUAGCUAGAUUGUGAGGUAAAGGCCCAACAAGGCGAAGAUACAUAGCCGGCCUGAGAGGGGGAUCGGGCAAAUUGGGACUGGGGCACGGCCCAAACGCCUAACGGGAGCAAGCGGAGGGAAUCUUCGGCAAUGGACGAAAGUCUGAACGGGCAACGCCGCGGGAGGGAAUAAGGUUCUUGGAACGGAAAACCCCGUUUAUAGGGAAGAACGGAGUUGGUAGUUGAAAACGCAUCAAUUGACGGUACCUACCCAGAAAGGGACGGCUAACUACGUG